ACCGCAAAUAACUCAAUUUACUAAGUUAUUAAAUACCCCAAAGUAGCAAUCAUGUUUUCUCUUUAUUACAAAUAAAAGUAAUUUAUUUUUGAAUAGCUAGGAACAUUGAAAGGUCAUUUUUAUUUCUUAGACUAAGUUUAUAUAUAUAUACACGCACACACAUAUAAUUUGAAGUUAUUAAAUGUAAAUCAUUAGCCUCUUUUUUGGCGAAGUAGAAUCUGCGUAUUUUUUUUAAA
Molecule: long non-coding RNA, 236 nt
Filed under: Bos taurus (domestic cattle)
Lineage: Eukaryota; Metazoa; Chordata; Mammalia; Artiodactyla; Bovidae
Description: long non-coding RNA NONBTAT030011
Source: RNAcentral